Molecule: ribosomal RNA, 253 nt
Filed under: uncultured bacterium
Lineage: Bacteria
Description: partial 16S ribosomal RNA
Rfam family: Bacterial small subunit ribosomal RNA
Source: RNAcentral
UACGUAGGGCGCAAGCGUUAUCCGGAAUUAUUGGGCGUAAAGAGCUCGUAGGCGGUUUGUCGCGUCUGCCGUGAAAGUCCGGGGCUCAACUCCGGAUCUGCGGUGGGUACGGGCAGACUAGAGUGAUGAAGGGGAGACUGGAAUUCCUGGUGUAGCGGUGAAAUGCGUAGAUAUCUGGAGGAACACCGGUGGCGAAGGCGGCAUCCUGGACCGACACUGACGCUGAGGAGCGAAAGCCAGGGGAGCAAACGGG